UGGGGAAUUUUGGACAAUGGGGGAAACCCUGAUCCAGCCAUCCCGCGUGUGCGAUGAAGGCCUUCGGGUUGUAAAGCACUUUUGGCAGGAAAGAAACGUCGCGGGUCAAUACCCCGCGAAACUGACGGUACCUGCAGAAUAAGCACCGGCUAACUACGUGCCAGCAGCCGCGGUAAUACGUAGGGUGCAAGCGUUAAUCGGAAUUACUGGGCGUAAAGCGUGCGCAGGCGGUUCGGAAAGAAAGAUGUGAAAUCCCAGAGCUUAACUUUGGAACUGCAUUUUUAACUACCGGGCUAGAGUGUGUCAGAGGGAGGUGGAAUUCCGCGUGUAGCAGUGAAAUGCGUAAAUAUGCGGAGGAACACCGAUGGCGAAGGCAGCCUCCUGGGAUAACACUGACGCUCAUGCACGAAAGCGUGGGGAGCAAACAGGAUUAGAUACCCUGGUAGUCCACGCCCUAAACGAUGUCAACUAGCUGUUGGGGCCUUCGGGCCUUGGUAGCGCAGCUAACGCGUGAAGUUGACCGCCUGGGGAGUACGGUCGCAAGAUU
Molecule: ribosomal RNA, 547 nt
Filed under: uncultured bacterium
Lineage: Bacteria
Description: partial 16S ribosomal RNA
Rfam family: Bacterial small subunit ribosomal RNA
Source: RNAcentral